Zea mays is the source of this 839-nucleotide long non-coding RNA. RefSeq lists it as uncharacterized. Lineage: Eukaryota; Viridiplantae; Streptophyta; Magnoliopsida; Poales; Poaceae. The transcript has 3 exons. The record is from RefSeq and is a predicted model, not a curated record.
UAGAAGCAUGGUGUGUUGGGAAGCUCAAGGACAUGAGAAGUACAUCUUCUAAGAAUUUAUCAAAUUUUGGCCUCUCCAGUGAAGAUUCAAGGAUGUUAAAGCGAGCCUUGGAGUUUAACUGGCAAAUGCUAUUGGAGGACAUUGGUCUUUGGAUACCUCCCAAUAUAUGGUAAAAUCAUAUGGAUUGGAUCUGAGAUUUAAGUUCGACUUGUACUCACUUGCAGGCAAGGAAAGUGCAAGUGUGUACACUUCUUAGUAUCUCAACGAUGUGGACUACUAUGGCGGGUUCGAGCAAGAUGAGCUGGAUGAGCUGUUUGAGGCGAUGCAAUCAAACUACAAGGCCUGGUGCUUAGGUUUUGCACCCCCUGUGUGUUGGAGGAGAUAUGGAAUCAGUGGCAGUUCAGGAGUUUAACAGGACACUCUUCAAUAUACGUCCGGACAUUGCACUUAAUGUUGCCUAGACGAUCUUCCAGAGCGAUGUGCGCAGCCUCCUCCCGCACGUUAGUGUCCCAUGCCACAUUGUUCAGAGCACCAAGGAUCUCGCGGUGCCAGUUGUGGUGUCUGAGUACCUGCACAGGCACCUUGGUGGCGACUCCAUCGUGGAGGUGAUGCCGUCUGAAGGCCAUCUUCCCCAGCUUAGCUCUCCAGACAUCGUAACCCCUGUCUUACUCCGGCACAUCCAGCAUGACAUCACAGUCUAGGUUGGCCAGCCGUUCCAAAAAGACAAUGUGGAAAUUGUAGCAUAUAUAUAUAUGACCAUGUAAUCUAUUGUUCGUCUAAUGUAGGAUACCGUGUUGGAUGCUCUGACAUCUUAAGUCCUUGAGAAGCUCUUCAUGUCA